AUACGGAGGAUGCGAGCGUUAUCCGGAUUUAUUGGGUUUAAAGGGUGCGUAGGCUGUGCGUUAAGUCAGGAGUGAAAUGCCGUCGCUCAACGACGGAGCUGCCCUUGAUACUGGCGUGCUGGAGUACGGAUGCCGUUGGAGGAAUGAGUGGUGUAGCGGUGAAAUGCUUAGAUAUCACUCAGAACACCGAUUGCGAAGGCAUCUGACGAAUCCGUCACUGACGCUGAGGCACGAAAGCGUGGGGAUAGAACAGGAUUAGAUACCCUGGUAUUCCACGCCGUAAACGAUGAUGACUAACCGUCGGCGAUAGACAGCCGGUGGCCAAGCGAAAGCGAUAAGUCAUCCACCUGGGGAGUACGUCGGCAACGAUGAAACUCAAAUGAAUUGACGGGG
Molecule: ribosomal RNA, 393 nt
Filed under: uncultured bacterium
Lineage: Bacteria
Description: partial 16S ribosomal RNA
Rfam family: Bacterial small subunit ribosomal RNA
Source: RNAcentral